CAUCACAAACGCAGCGGCAGCGCGCGGAGGGAACUCAAAGCCUGACUGGUUCUUCCUUAAGCUGGACGCGAGCUGGUUGGCAACCGGCCUUCAGUGGGUGGCCUUCAGUUAGUGCCUUCAGUGGGUGCCUCAAGGUGGUGGCAUUUGGUUGCCUUUGCUGGGGAGAGGCGGCAGGUGCUAGCUCUGCAGCCGUGGGGGCAAGCGAAGGCCCGAGCUGCCCGAGAAGAGCGGAGGUGCCCCAUGGGGACCACGCUGACCUGUCGCAUGUGCACCAAAGCCAGCCCCUGGCAGGGCCGGCGGGGGGUUCUGCGGGGCCAUCCUGUGGCUCUGACAUCUGUGAGUGGGCGGCCAGCAAAGGCACAGGCCCCAGCAGAGAGGAGCAGAGACGCCCAGAACACGCUGGUCCCAUGUCAGCCCCAAGCGGGGCCAGCUGGGGUGCGGUGGGCAGAGCCUUCCUGCAGCUCUGAGAUCCAUGAGGUGCAGGUGGGAGUAGCGCCAGGCUCCACUGCGUUGGUGCCCACCCAGUCCGAUUCCGGAGCCGUGACUGGCAGCGCCCUGGCGACCAGAAGAGCCCAAAGAUGCUGCAUACUGGAUGGAUUGGUUUGUGGUUCCUGGGAUCUUCUGUGUAUUCUGUCAAAGCUCAAUAAUCACAUUACUGCAGACCUUCAAAAUUUUACAAAGGACUGCAUACUCUUUGUCCUGGGCAGAGCUUGCUGCACCUUCCAGUUGCAGUAA
Molecule: long non-coding RNA, 735 nt
Filed under: Macaca mulatta (Rhesus monkey)
Lineage: Eukaryota; Metazoa; Chordata; Mammalia; Primates; Cercopithecidae
Description: lncRNA (ENSMMUG00000055932.1)
Source: RNAcentral